CAAAAAAUGAACUGCAUCACUGGUGUAGCUGCACAGUAAACUAGUCGUUAGCGCGUACUGCUUCUUGCUGAUAUCAAAGCACAGGUCCAGGGAAACCAGGGGGUCCAGGAUCACCAACAGUUCCGGGCCCACCAGGAGAGCCAGUCCUACCAAGUUUACCAACAUUGCCAAGUGCACCUUUGGGACCUGUGAGAGGAGCGAUGAGGGAGGAGAGUCUCUCAGAUGAGUUUUUCCUCAAUACCAAAACUAAUAUUGAGUGUUGCACACACUCACCAGGACGUCCAGGGAUUCCAGAGAGACCAGGUUCUCCGCUGAUACCAGGGCCGCCACCGCCACCAGGAAAUCCAGGGUCUCCAACGUUUGGUAUUGGGAUUGGAACUCUGUCAAUCUCUGCGAUGCCAGGCCUACCCUGUAUACCUGGGGGUCCUGGAAUAUGCAACAACAUACUUUACAAAUGUCCCACAAGGCACUCCCUGUUCUACCAGCAGCAAAGCUGAUACCUCUGGAUCCUUUGGGUCCUUUCCCUCCAUAAUAACCAGGAUCGCCAGGAAAUCCUUUCAGACCUGGACCCCCACUGAAACCAGGCUCUCCUCUGUUUCCUGAUGAAAGUUCCAAAUAGUACUUUAUUUUCUGUCCAAAGACCAUUACAUCAAAAUGACGAUGCUUAUUACCUUUAAAGCCAGGACUGCCAGGAAGACCGGGGCCUGCUGGGCGUCCUGGUUCACCUUUAGGUCCAGGGGAUCCGGAAAAGCCAGGAAGUCCCGGGUCCCCUCUGUCACCUUGAGAUGUGCCAGGACCAGGUGGUCCUGCUGGGCCUUCUGGACCUGGUCGACCUGUUGGCAGAGUCAGAAGAAAUAAGCACAAAGACAUAAAGUGUAAUUGACAGAUUUGUUUUUACCAUAUUCUCCAUCAAGUCCUGGGAGACCUGGGUCUCCAAUUGGUCCCGGAAUAUCUGAGCCAACAACGGGACCAGGUGGACCAGGCAGACCAGGGAAACCAGUAAGUCCUGGACCACCUUGAUCUCCCCUUUCUCCCUUUAGUCCAGGGAUGCCUGGUCCCCCUGGGUAGGAGACGCCUCUCUCUCCUUUCAAACCCGGAGCACCUGGAGCACCUGGGCGGCCUCCUCCAGCACCACCUGUGACCAAUUCAUUAACGUAAGGCAAAAGACCAUUUGGAGUGUGAAAAUCUUCCUUUUGCCAAAACUGUUACCAGGAGUUCCCGGAAGGCCUUUAGGUCCUGCAAGGCCAUUUAAUCCGUCCAAACCCGGUGAUCCAUUAAAGCCUGCCAAACAAAAAUUUGAUAACUUUUUAGAACAUGUAUCUUUCUUGAGUAGACAGUGACAUUUCUCCCACGUUACCUUUGGCACCAGGACCUCCUGGGCCACCUGGACCUCCUGGUGGACCAUCUGAGCCUCUUCUUCCAGGGUAGCCAGCCUGCCCCUUUGGUCCAGGAAAACCAGGGGAGCCUAGGGACAAACUCACCCAUGAUUCCAGGCCGACCAGGUUCUCCAGGGCUGCCUUUAAUUCCCGGGAAACCAGGACCCCCUGGGAAACCAUUGUCACCAGGAGCACCAUCAUUUGCACGGCCACCUUUGGGUAGAUAAUUCAGCGUAGUCAGUGACAAACAGUGGAUAAAGUUUAAACGACAAGAUUUGCAAACAAAACGUUGACAGGGGAACUCAAAGCAAAUAACUCCAAGUUGAUGUUAUGUGCAGUAGUUCCAAAAACUAAAAAGAAUAAGUUAGGAUACAUCAACCUUAUCUUUGAUUUCUAUUGAUGUGUACCUGGAAUUCCUGAAUCUCCAGGUAGUCCUUUGAGUCCAGGACCUCCAGGAUAUCCAUAUGAUUCUCCUGGUAUACCUAUGGGGUUAUAGAGACACAAAAAAGUAUGAAUACUUCCUUGUUAUAUAUAAUAAAAAAGUCAGAUAAGAUUUUGCAGAGGGAAGGCACCUUUUCCUCCAGGGCGACCAGGUUCUCCAGGGUUGCCAGGGAAACCAGGUACACCAUCUUGUCCCUAAAAUGUCCAGUGCAUCAUGACCUUAUGCUAGCACGUGCAAUUUUUAUCUUCUCAGAAUAAUAUGAUGUUGUCAUACCCUCGGUCCAGUCUGACCAGGGAAUCCUACGAUUCCAGGUUCACCUUUCUGUCCAAGGUAUCCAGGGCCUCCAGGCUGUCCAGGAAACCCUGGCUGCCCUGAGAGCCCUUUACUUUGAUCCGCAAAACCAGGAAGUCCAGGCAGACCCUGACGGCCAGGUGGUCCUGGUAGACCUUUGUCACCUGGAAUCACAAUGUGGUAAAUUCAAAUAUAAUAUCCAGUUUGCAAAUCUUGACAUAAAAUGCAUGUCCCACUAUCACGAAUAAAUAGACCAAAUAUAACCUCGGGGUCCAGGGAAUCCCGGAAGUCCACUGUUUCCUGGAUCACCAGAGUCUCCUUUCUCCAGGUACUCCACUGCAUAUGUGGGUGCUGGGGGUCCAGGAAGGCCAGGGUAACCCCUCUCCCCUGAAGAAGACAGCAAUUACAGUGUGAGAAUCACAGUGAAUCUGAUCCUUCACUCUUCUGCUCACCUUUCUGUCCAAAGUAUCCAGGGCCACCUGGAAGUCCAUCUCUUCCAGGCCCUCCAGGCUGCCCUUUCCCCCCAGGAAACCCAGGGGACCCAGGGAGACCAGGUCGUCCAGGGAAGCCCAUCAGUCCAGGGAAGCCUUUGUCACCUGUGCGCACACAGUCGAGCUCUCUUUGUAAUAGAUGAAUUGGCCAACCCAAAUGAUCCUUUGUCUUCUAAAGACUAAUAUAGCGGACCUUUGUCUCCUCUGUUACACAAAGUGUCUAUACACAACUUACUCAGUCUUAUUAUGUUUAUCUUAAACAUAACAUACCCUUUAUUCCUGGUAUCCCUGGUAUUCCUUCUCUGGUUCCUGGUCCAGGAAGUCCAGGGGAGCCCCUUGGUCCCGGUGAACCUGGUGUGCCUGGCAAACCAGGGGAUCCUUUCGCAGCGGCACGUCCUGGAAAACCAGGGUCUCCUCUAUCUCCCUUUCUACCAGGGAAACCUGUUGCAGAGUUGAUGGCCGGCCGCCACACAAGGGUCAAAGAAAGCAGAACACAGUCAGAACAUUCUCGCUGACUCAACAGUCGCUUUGGGUUACAGUCAGUAGCAUUGCACGCGUUAAAAGCACUGUCAGUAUUGUUGUUUUUUUUGCUUGAACUUACCUGGAUUGCAUUACUAUUUGGACUUACCUCAUUAUCAGCGUCACUUUUACAUUGGUGGAAUUUUUAAAAAUGCUUAAAAAAACAAUGAAUCAGUGCAUCGUUUUGUAGCAAUGGCUGGAAUUGCACUUUGAUAGAGUUGUAUUCAAAUAUGUACAAAUUUCUGUUAACUGAAAUAUAGUCAGUGUUUCUCUGCAACAAUUUGUUUCUGCUUCUGUGCAAUUCCAGACUGAAUUAGCUUUUAACCAAGUAUGUUUGCCUAACAGAGGAGCAUAUUAAAGUCUACAUUCUUAAAACUGCACCCUCACUUUCAACACAUCUUGUUGUGCAAUGGAUGGACACGUGAUAGAUGUGAUGAAACGUGAAUGCUUGUAUAUUUAAGAAUGUAUGAAAAAGCUUGGGCAAGACGGUUAAACUGCAUUAAAACCGAAAGCCUUGGUCGUGUCCUAAGUGAACUGAAAUGAUACAGUAAUUACACACACAUUUUUUAUUUUUUUAUUUAUUUUUUUAAAUAGAGGUUAGUGCUGGCUGCAAAACAAAGCUUUAGUGGUUAUUGAGAAAACAUUUUUUUUCUGAUUGUUCCACAGUUAAACUGUCCAUAUCAAAGCAUUCACAGUCAAAUAUGUGGUGCACUUUUUUGUUUUGUUUUGUUUUUGAAAAUUGAGUGCUGCUCAGUAAUUCAGUAAAUUGCUUUCAGUACCAGGACUCUAUAGACUAUACACACAUUAUGGCAUCUCAGCCAUAUAGUUUUUGCAUGUGUUAAGAAAGUCCCAACAUAUUUGAACCAUAUCUGACUCAGGUGAUCCUCCCCAGAUCUUCUCCCAGUACACCUGCAACUGCUGUCUACAAUUCAGCUUCUCAUCUCGAGGUUAAGAUAUGGACACUUUUCAGUGGAGCAGCCAAAAAAAUCAGCAAACACUCAUAAAAAAGGCAUUUGGUCGAGAGCUCAAGACGGAGGGAUGGAAGCACAUGGUAGGGAGGAUAGAUGGACGGAUGGCUGGAUGAAUGAGGGGUGGUUUGGGGAAAGAAUAUCUCACCUGCACAUCCUACAACGAGUGACCCAACACCAAGAAGUAAAAAAAAAUGGGGGAAUGGAAGAAUGGAUGGUGAUGAAGGUGGUAAAGGGAGAGGAUAAAGAAAGGAGGGAGAAAUACAACACAGGAGAGAUUUGGGUGAUGAAGACUCAAACACAAAUUCAACAGUAAAGUAUUGUGACACAUUGAACUACAAAUGAAAAGGGUAAAAUAAACAAGAAAAAGGACAAAUGGAACGACAAAUCAUUGACAAGUCGACACCAUGGGCCACAAGUAAUAACAUUUUUAACACAGGAGUGACUGUAUAUUUUCACAAUUCAAAAUAAAUACAUCUAAACGAAAUGUCAGAACUCACCAGGAGAUCCGCUCUCUCCUUUCCUGCCGGGAGCUCCCUGUGGGCCAACAAUGCCUCCUGUUUCCCCACCAGGCAGACCAGGAAGACCAGGAAUACCAGGUAGACCAUCAACGCCACGCUCGCCUUUCAAUCCAGGAAUGCCUGGCCGCCCAUCCAAACCUGAGGAGAAGAUGGAGCAGAAGUCAACAAGAAUGACUGGUCGUGUUGGUGAGUGUUUUUUAGUGAGAUAACUUCUUAAACUUGAUAUUUCCACCAGACUCACCAGGAGCACCAGGUCCUCCAGAUGAACCAGGCAGGCCCUUAUCUCCUGGCUGCCCAGGGAAACCAUCUUGACCGGGCCGACCAGGAGUAGCACCCAGGACUUCUCCCGGUAGCCCUUUUAGUCCAGGGCGCCCAGGAAUACCGUCUUUUCCUCUCCCACCAUCAAAUCCCUGCCCUGGAAUGCCAGGAACACCAGGAUCACCUCUGGGUCCAGGGAAUCCUAAAAAAGGGAGAGAGGUUGAAGAAAAUGAAGAAAGUGACAAUGAUACAGAAGCUUUUCUCACGAUAAACAGGUUUACCUUGAAGACCUGGCUGGCCUCCGUAGCCGGGAUCACCGCGCUCUCCUUUGGCACCAUUAAAUCCGGGACGGCCAGGACCUCCAGGGAAACCUGGCUGACCUUUAGGGCCUUGAAAAUGUAGACAAGCACUCAAAUAUUUGUGUUUUGGGUACAAUUUAUAUAGAGGAAAGGAUGAUUUCAUACAACCACCAGACUUACAUCACGAGUUUAAAGUAACUCCGCUUGUGUUACACUGUCAACUAGUGAUGUGAUGAUGAAAUAAUGUCCUUUUUCUAGAGCUCGCUAGGUGGCGCUCUCAGUUUGAUAAUGACAUGAGGUUUCAUUGAUAUGUCUGUUUAAAUCCAAAGGAUCUAGAGUAAAGAGUGCCAUUCAGUGGGCUCUGAAACUGAGGACAAUGUUUCAUGAAUCCAUAUCAGCCCAUCACUGCUGUCUACGGAAUAGUAUCACCAUGCAAUGUCAAAGCAGCCAUUGUGGUUGCACUACACACGGACAGUUGACGCAGUCAUCUUACCUGGUAUUCCAGGUAAACCUGGGUACCCUGGGUCCCCUGGGUCCCCAGCUUCAUCACGACAACGGUUCUCUCGGCCUAAUAGCAGUCAAAUACAAGUUAGCAAGCGGCAUAAUUGUGCGCAUAACAAAGUUCGCUGUAAAAUGAAAGUGAGGAGCAACAUUUUUUUCUUCCUACACAUGAAUAAUAACAAUUCUGCAAGUGUAGACAAUAUAUU
This is a long non-coding RNA of Synchiropus splendidus (mandarinfish), 5872 nucleotides long. RefSeq lists it as uncharacterized. The record is from RefSeq and is a predicted model, not a curated record. The transcript has 3 exons. NCBI's taxonomy places the organism in Eukaryota, Metazoa, Chordata, Actinopteri, Syngnathiformes, Callionymidae.